AGUGAACGCUGGCGGUAGGCCUAACACAUGCAAGUCGAACGGCAGCACAGUAAGAGUUUGCUCUUACGGGUGGCGAGUGGCGGACGGGUGAGGAAUACAUCGGCAUCUACUUUUUCGUGGGGGAUAACGUAGGGACACUUACGCUAAUACCGCAUACGACCUACGGGUGAAAGCAGGGGAUCUUCAGACCUUGCGCGAUUGAAUGAGACGAUGUCGGAUUAGCUAGUUGGCGAGGUAAAGGCUCACCAAGGCGACGAUCCGUAGCUGGUCUGAGAGGAUGAUCAGCCACACUGGAACUGAGACACGGUCCAGACUCCUACGGGAGGCAGCAGUAGGGAAUAUUGGACAAAGGGCGCAAGCCUGAUCCAGCCACGCCGCGUGGGUGAUGAAGGUCUUCGGGUCGUAAAGCCCUGUUGUUGGGGAAGAAAAGCAGCAUGUUAAUACCUCGCUGUUUUGACGGUACCCAAUGAGUAAGCACCGGCUAACUACGUG
Molecule: ribosomal RNA, 492 nt
Filed under: uncultured bacterium
Lineage: Bacteria
Description: partial 16S ribosomal RNA
Rfam family: Bacterial small subunit ribosomal RNA
Source: RNAcentral